GAUGAACGCUGGCGGCGUGCCUAAUACAUGCAAGUCGAGCGAACAGACGCGGCGCUUGCUCCUCUGACGUUAGCGGCGGACGUGUGAGUAACACGUGUAUAACCUCCCUAUAUGACUGGGAUCACUUCGGGAAACCGGAGCUAAUCCCGGAUAAUCUCUUGCACCGUAUUGUUCAAUAGUGAAAUACGGUUUUUCUGUCACUUCUCGCUGGAUCCGGGCCGCAUUAUCUAGUUGGUAAGUUCACGGGUUACCAAGGCAACGAAGCGUAGACGAACUGAGAGGGGGAUAGGCCACACUGGAAGGGGGACAGGGACAAGACGCCUAAGGGAGGCAGCAGUAGGGAAUCGGACGCAAUGGGCGAAAGCAUGACGGAGCAAGGCCGCGUGAGUGAUGAAGGUCUUCGGAUCGUAAAAAUCGGUUAUGAGGGAAGAACAAAUGUGGAAGGAAAUAUGCACGGAUUGACGGUACCUAAUCAGAAAGCAACGGCUAACUACGUG
This 497-nucleotide ribosomal RNA is filed under the name uncultured bacterium. Its description in RNAcentral is "partial 16S ribosomal RNA". It matches the Rfam family "Bacterial small subunit ribosomal RNA", at positions 28 to 507 of the family's 1533-position model. The record is from RNAcentral.